GGGUAGGUGGUGUAAUGGUAGCAUAAAUGUCUGUGGUAUAGGAGGUCCGUGUUCGAUUCACGGCUUGCCCA
Molecule: non-coding RNA, 71 nt
Organism: Tritrichomonas musculus
Lineage: Eukaryota; Parabasalia; Tritrichomonadida; Tritrichomonadidae
Source: the annotation of a GenBank genome assembly